GUUCCCCUGAGGGAAAGUUGCAAAGCACUUUGAAGAGAGAGUUAAAGAGGACGUGAAACCGAUGAGGUGGAAACGGAUAGAGCUAGCGUAUUUGACCUGUAUUCAGCCUUGCAACAGGCUACGUCUGUGCUGCUGCUCUCCAGAUUGGGACAGUGUGUGGGCGCUGUAGGUUGCGGGGUGCAUUUGCAGGUGGUGUGCGCCGAGGCGCUCGGUUUGGCGGCAUGAAGUCGGUUUUGAGGCCAGCUUGCUGGUACCCGGACCGGUGGCAUUGCUGUUCAUUCUGGGUGUUCCCCCCAUUGUGGGCAUGGUUUUCGGGCUCGGGUGGGUGCCGAGCCGGUUGUCGGCGGCGGUCGCAUGCGACACGUGCUGUGCCGUCGGUUCGGUCCUGCAAGAGCUCACUGUGCUCAUUCUCGGUGUAAAAGCUGGUCAUCUAUCCGACCCGUCUUGAAACACGGACCAAGGAGUUUAUCGUAUGCGCGAGUCAUUGGGCGUUCAAAACCCAAAGGCGCAAUGAAAGUGAAGGUAUCCGUACGGAGCCGACGUGCGAUCUCGGACACUGCGGUGCACGAGCGCAGCAUGGCCCCAUUCUGACUGCUUGCAGUGGGGUGGCGGAAGAGCGUAUGCGAUGAGACCCGAAAGAUGGUGAACUAUUCCUGAGCAGGAUGAAGCCAGAGGAAACUCUGGUGGAAGUCCGAAGCGAUUCUGACGUGCAAAUCGAUCGUCUGACUUGGGUAUAGGGGGCAAAAGACUAAUCGAACCAUCU
Molecule: ribosomal RNA, 763 nt
Filed under: Zygotylenchus guevarai
Lineage: Eukaryota; Metazoa; Nematoda; Chromadorea; Rhabditida; Pratylenchidae
Description: eukaryotic LSU rRNA
Rfam family: Eukaryotic large subunit ribosomal RNA
Source: RNAcentral